Molecule: long non-coding RNA, 1986 nt
Organism: Malania oleifera
Lineage: Eukaryota; Viridiplantae; Streptophyta; Magnoliopsida; Santalales; Ximeniaceae
Exons: 6
Source: RefSeq, a predicted model, not a curated record
GGCGGUUUGAGGACUCGCUCCGCGGUCUCUCUCUCUCUCUCUCUCUCUGUUCCUGCCACCCUCUCUCUCUCUCUCUCUCUCUCUGUGCGGGCGUCGACGCCGUAGAAUAGUUCGCAAUAGCAACGUCCAGGCACUCAUUAUGGCACUGCAAAGUUUCAGAGCUGAGAAGUUCCUCCUCCGCCAUAUUCUCUAGCCGUCGUUCCCGCCGCCAAAGCUCUGGCGUUGCAGAAAUUCUGGCCGCUUUAUCAGAAAUUGAUCUGGAAGGUCAUGCUGUUUAAGGUUCAGGUAGAACACAUUUGAUGUGGUCUCCAGUGGCCACUGCUUGGCAUAUGAUGCUUCCUGAGGUUGUUUCGUUGCAAAACAUUGAAGAUGAGAAGGCGGAAGAACUAGAAGAGAAAUGUCCGGUUAAUGUAUUCGACAUUGAAGAUAUCGGCAAGGGUAAGAAGAGGGCAACUGUAGUGAGACCAUGUGCUUGCACACUCUGUUAGGAAUGCAUCCAGGGGGAUGAAUGGAAAGAUAUGUGGCAUUACAAUGUGUUAAAAUCGUCUCAUAUCUGUGAAGAUCUUGGAAGACAAGUGUGAGUGUGUCAUUACCGAGCUCUCUUGAUGCUUUGGUCUUUGAAGAAGACAAUACUGGAUGUUUCAAAGAGAAUGCAGAGGGAAAAGCUGUAAAGAAAACAGUUUAAUUGGUGUGAUCAGAAUACUUGAGACAUCUUAAAAAUUGGAUGGAAGCAAGGGCUUAUGCUUUGUAAAGCUAUUCUGAGCGAGCCAAUCCAUUGAUCUGUAAGUCUUCACUUUUAUAUAUUUUGCCUGUUGAUCAAACUUGCACUUUAUUUGAUAAUGGGUGAGUUCAAACUUCUAAUCAGCACAGGUUUUUGUUUUUUUGUUUUUUUUUUAUUUUGGUAAAAUUAUAUUGAGUUUAAUGCCAUGUUGAAUUUUUGAAUUUGAAUAAAUUUGAACAAAUUUUAAUAUAAUUUUAUAUUAAAUCUUAUUCAAAUCUCCUCUCCGAAGAGAAAAUAGGGUAAAGUUAUUUAAUUUUUUUUUAUUGUAUAAAACUUGAAAUUCAUUAAUAAAUCUCCUCAUACAAAAAGCCUUUCUUCCAACCUGAGUUGUGAAUGUGCUAGCUCAUUAUAACAAUUUUUUAAUAGCAAAAAAACAAAGGUAAAUACAUAAUUUAUGUGUUUGAGAGUAUGAUUUUCAGAUAUUGGAUUUGAAUUUGAAUGGAUUUGGAUAAAUUUUAAUAUAACUUUCCUAUUAUAUUUUGUUCAAAUGCAAUGCAAAUUCAAAUAUCAAAUUUAAGCCUAUUCAAAUAUAUGGGAAUAAUUUUUUACCAUAUAUAAUAAGUUAUGUCUAACAUUUAAAGGAAAGACUUCAGUCUGGACAUGAUCCCUUCCCGAUAGCCUCCACAAAACCUUUAAUAUAAGAAACUAUUAAAAAAUCGCCGCAUCCUCUAGCCUAAGCAUCCUUAAUUCCUUCUCUAAUGGUCCACAACUCGCCUAGAGAUUAAAACAUCAAAAUAGAGGUCGUAUCCAUCAAUUUAACAGGAGCACCAUUUUGCUACUGCCUCUUUGGUUGGGUUGAUGGAUUCCAAACUAUAAAUCAUAAUAUUAAAUUUAGACUUAGAAGAAUUAAUUCAAAUAUUUUUAUAUUUUGAAAUGCAAUUUUUCUAUGCACCGCCAAGUUUAACUUGAAUGAAGAAAAGGUUUGACUUGUCCCUGGGCGGUAAGGAGGUUUUUUAGAAGACCGCUUACAACGAUGGAUUUUGGGUUCAAGCCUUGCUACUUGUAGUGCGCAUUUGGAUUUACCUCUUACAUGUUGGCUGUGGACACUGCUGGCGUAGGCGUGAGAUUAGUUCGGUGCGUAAGUUCAAGAAACCUGACAUAUCCAAAAAAAGAAAAGGUUUGACUUUCUUAUUCAUAUUAGCACUCUUUCUUCUUUAUAUGCUUCCGAUGAACUAUACAAAUGAGAUAGCAUAUUUUUCAUUUCA